GACGAACGCUGGCGGCGUGCUUAACACAUGCAAGUCGAACGGAAAGGCCCUGCUUGCAGGGUACUCGAGUGGCGAACGGGUGAGUAACACGUGGGUGAUCUGCCCUGCACUUCGGGAUAAGCCUGGGAAACUGGGUCUAAUCCCGGAUAGGAGCCAUUUUUAGUGUGAUGGUUGGAAAGUUUUUUCGGUGUAGGAUGAGCUCGCGGCCUAUCAGCUUGUUGGUGGGGUAAUGGCCUACCAAGGCGGCGACGGGUAGCCGGCCUGAGAGGGUGGACGGCCACAUUGGGACUGAGAUACGGCCCAGACUCCUACGGGAGGCAGCAGUGGGGAAUAUUGCACAAUGGGCGCAAGCCUGAUGCAGCGACGCCGCGUGGGGGAUGACGGCCUUCGGGUUGUAAACUCCUUUCGCUAGGGACGAAGCUUUUUGUGACGGUACCUAGAUAAGAAGCACCGGCUAACUACGUG
RNAcentral lists this ribosomal RNA (465 nucleotides) under uncultured bacterium. Its description in RNAcentral is "partial 16S ribosomal RNA". It matches the Rfam family "Bacterial small subunit ribosomal RNA", at positions 28 to 507 of the family's 1533-position model. The record is from RNAcentral.